Camellia sinensis is the source of this 2720-nucleotide non-coding RNA. The record is from RefSeq and is a predicted model, not a curated record. NCBI's taxonomy places the organism in Eukaryota, Viridiplantae, Streptophyta, Magnoliopsida, Ericales, Theaceae.
AUUUUCUAAAAAUAGAAGGGAAAAAGCUGCAGCACUGAACCAGAGAUACUCUUCCAUCUUUGCCACUGCCUUUAGCGUUUCCUCUGCAUCAUCGUUCUGUUUGUUCAGUAGCACGAACACAUAAACAAAUCGCCCUUCGUUUCGAUUCUUUUCCAUUUCUCCGUUUCACUUGUAAGUUAUAAUUCUGUCACUGAUUGCUGCUUUGGAUCUCGAAAGAUAUAUAUAUUCAUAAACUAAAACAAAGCUCACCCCAAUGGGGUUCGAUGACUUCGAACCCAUAUUUGGCCAGGCCAAAGCAGAAUGGUCGACUCCAAAUUCGCCCCCUUUGCGGCCAUUUUUGUUUAACGUGCAUGUUUCCGGCUCUUCUUGCCUUAAAGUUCAUGUUUCUGAUUUCUAUUCCAAUACUUUUGAGGCCGUUCGGUCAAUCGAACAGCUCGAGGACUUGAGGGAUAUGAUUGGAAUCGGGGGUUCAUGGUGCGAGUUUAUGGAUUAUCUUGUUGCUUCCAUAAAAUCUGAUGAUGUAAAACUUAUUCUGGAUGGCCAGCCGAGAGCAGAUGGUGCUGCAUAUGCAAAAUUAGUUGCUCAGAAAUCAAAAGGAAUGCCACUAAUCUCUAUUUCCCUUGCUAAACUGGUGGAUGCUGCUGCGAGUGAGGUUAUGGCGAAUCUUUCACUAGAGGUUUAUAAAGCAUUUAAAAGCAUGCAAAAUCUUCUUGUAAAAGAGCAAGAUCGAUGUUGUCUGUUGACGAAAGUAAUAUCAGCCGAACAGGAAAAGACUGGAACUAUCCAAAAGCAGCUCGAUACAUUUCUGUAUUCAAAGAGGCAGAAGUCACUGAAGAUGAAUGACAAAUCAAACACAGAUGCUUUGUCAGCUACUGGCUUGCAAGAUUCUCCAGACAAGCUGGCUGCUCAAAAUCCUGGCUCAACUAAAGUUGCCAAGCGCGUUGUACCAGCAUACCGCAGGUCAAAAGUGAGAGGAGUUCUUUUGCAGGAUACUACUGAGGAUGGAGAUAAUUAAAAGUAUUUGACACCUUCACUCACUAUGUUCAGUGAAAGACGCUUUUAAUGACUACAACUUUGAUUUUUAUUUGUCAUACAAUUGGAAAGAUAUAGAAUGAAAAGGAUAGAAAAAGGGCUCUAGUAAGAAGUGGGUUUGUAACUCAAUACUUCAUAAAUUGCUAGCACUGGUAAUUGAGGGCAUAUAAAAUAUGUAUAUCUGGCUUUGUUCCUAUUAAAAGAAAAAUGUAUGCUGGUAUAUAUAUAGUGAUGCAUUUUCCGGCAAAUUGUUGUUUGCUUGUAUGAAGUUUCUCUUGAUAUUGGUAGUUGCCAAAUCCACUUAUUGAUAUUGACCGUUUGUGGUUUUUAAUAUAAUCUCUUCUUGAUAUUGGCUAUUUGUGGUUGUUAAUAUAAUCUCUACGCCUUUAUUGAUUUGUAUGUAUUUGUUUGCAUUUGAGGGAAGGGGGUUGGCGGCUUUCAACCUCUUUUGGGUCAUAUCACCUCCACUUUUUUAUACAUUUUUUUCAAAAAAAUCAAAAGGCUAACUUGUAACCUACUUUCCAAAACAACUGUAUACCUCAUUUACAGAAUUUCUGGAUUGUCAUCCCAAUAUAAUAAAAAAAUAUCACAGUUUUAUUGACCAAGAAAUACAUUAGAUCUCCAUCAUCUUCCCUGCCACAAUCAAAUUUACUAGGGUUUCUGGUCAUUCCAUGUUGUAUCAGCCGUGAGAUAUGCCAUAAUAUUCUGCUACUUUCUCUAAUCAUUUUGUGUGCUUAUAUGGUGUCUGAGAGCUCAUUCAGGGAGGCACUCUCUCUGUCUGGUGGAUCUGUAUUUCAUGUGAAAGGGCCAGCAACCAGGUAUGAAGUUGAUAUCAUCAUCUCUGCACGACAUACGAACAAUUGCUUGAAAUUUGGAUUCUUCUCAUCAUCAAUUACAAUAAUGUCCUUCUGGUCUGCCUGCAAGUCAUGCUGUUCAUCGACAAUAUCUUUCAGAGAGAGUUCAUACCAAGACUCUGGCAUGUCUUGGAUCUUUUCUGUUAGUUUCCUUCUACCAUCAAUGAUCGCUUGCAAUCGUGACGGCGAUGACGACGACGAUGACAACGACAACUUGGGGGAUGUCAGAUAACUGUACUGGUGAUUUCUAGGCAAUAACGGAGUUUUACUUGUCCAAAACGCCUGCGGUGAGCAGGCUCCGUCAUUGCCAUUGUACUGUGUCUGAGCUUGAAAAUCUACUUCAUCAUCACCAUAACUGUUGUAAUAAUCUGUUCUUUGUUCACCCCAGAACUGGAAACCUGUUUCUUUUUCAUGUCCUAAAACAAGUGCCAUUUGAUCGAUUGAUCGAUCAGGCUGACAUAAGAAAUUAAAGUGGUUUAUAGUAAGGCCUUGCUGGAGAUCAAGCAUGGUAGUAAGAGAGAAGAAGAAGAAGAAGAAGAAGAAGAAAAGGAAAGUGAAAAUAGAGUGAUUGUUGUGUGUGUGGUUAGAGAAGUGUGUGAUGUGUUUGGUAGCUAGCUAUACAUAGCAUAUAUAAUACUGAAAUGAAGGGAAGAAUAAGUCAUAUGCUAAUACAGAAAUUUUCGAAAGGGACCCCAAUUUGAAGUCAUUGCCGUCUCCUGUGGGAGGGGAGGGAUGACCGGGAAAUGGGCCCACAAGCGGCCUCAAUUUCCUUACAUUUGUCUCUCUCAAAGUCUAUGUUGAGAACAUGGGAGCCCAAGUAUGGCCAAUUUUGUC